CUGUGGUUAAGUUAAUAAGGGCACACGGUGGAUGCCUUGGCGUUAGGAGCCGAAGAAGGACGCAGCGAACUGCGAUAAGCCUCGGGGAGUGGUAAGCACACUUUGAUCCGGGGAUUUCCGAAUGGGGGAACCCACCAUCUGUAAUGGGAUGGUAUCCUUCACUGAAUACAUAGGUGAUGAGAGGGCAGACCCGG
RNAcentral lists this ribosomal RNA (194 nucleotides) under Brevibacillus laterosporus. Its description in RNAcentral is "partial 23S ribosomal RNA". It matches the Rfam family "Bacterial large subunit ribosomal RNA", at positions 1 to 188 of the family's 2925-position model. The record is from RNAcentral. Lineage: Bacteria; Bacillati; Bacillota; Bacilli; Caryophanales; Paenibacillaceae.